This 31-nucleotide non-coding RNA is filed under the name Homo sapiens (human). The record is from RNAcentral. Lineage: Eukaryota; Metazoa; Chordata; Mammalia; Primates; Hominidae.
UAGGGUGACUGUGAGCUUCCAGAGCUCGAAU